This 430-nucleotide ribosomal RNA is filed under the name Pseudomonadota bacterium. RNAcentral describes it as "Proteobacteria bacterium partial 16S ribosomal RNA". It matches the Rfam family "Bacterial small subunit ribosomal RNA", at positions 355 to 776 of the family's 1533-position model. Lineage: Bacteria; Pseudomonadati; Pseudomonadota. The record is from RNAcentral.
UGGGGAAUAUUGGACAAUGGGCGCAAGCCUGAUCCAGCCAUGCCGCGUGUGUGAAGAAGGCCUUAUGGUUGUAAAGCACUUUAAGCGAGGAGGAGGCUACUUUAGUUAAUACCUAGAGAUAGUGGACGUUACUCGCAGAAUAAGCACCGGCUAACUCUGUGCCAGCAGCCGCGGUAAUACAGAGGGUGCAAGCGUUAAUCGGAUUUACUGGGCGUAAAGCGCGCGUAAGCGGCUAAUUAAGUCAAAUGUGAAAUCCCCGAGCUUAACUUGGGAAUUGCAUUCGAUACUGGUUAGCUAGAGUGUGGGAGAGGAUGGUAGAAUUCCAGGUGUAGCGGUGAAAUGCGUAGAGAUCUGGAGGAAUACCGAUGGCGAAGGCAGCCAUCUGGCCUAACACUGACGCUGAGGUGCGAAAGCAUGGGGAGCAAACAGG